UUUUGCCGGGGAGCAAAGUGCCGCACGUGUGCGGUUUGGAGAGUACCCGGAGAAAAAGCAUCGGCUAACUCCGUGCCAGCAGCCGCGGUAAUACGGAGGAUGCGAGCGUUAUCCGGAUUUAUUGGGUUUAAAGGGUGCGUAGGCGGACGCUUAAGUCAGCGGUAAAAUUGCGGGGCUCAACCUCGUCGAGCCGUUGAAACUGGGUGCCUUGAGUGGGCGAGAAGUACGCGGAAUGCGUGGUGUAGCGGUGAAAUGCAUAGAUAUCACGCAGAACUCCGAUUGCGAAGGCAGCGUACCGGCGCCCAACUGACGCUGAAGCACGAAGGCGUGGGUAUCGAACAGGAUUAGAUACCCUGGUAGUCCACGCAGUAAACGAUGAAUGCUAGUUGUCCGGGGCGAUUGAGUUCUGG
Molecule: ribosomal RNA, 410 nt
Filed under: uncultured bacterium
Lineage: Bacteria
Description: bacterial SSU rRNA
Rfam family: Bacterial small subunit ribosomal RNA
Source: RNAcentral